This 497-nucleotide ribosomal RNA is filed under the name uncultured bacterium. RNAcentral's name for it is "partial 16S ribosomal RNA". It matches the Rfam family "Bacterial small subunit ribosomal RNA", at positions 28 to 507 of the family's 1533-position model. The record is from RNAcentral.
GAUGAACGCUGGCGGCGUGCCUAAUACAUGCAAGUCGAGCGAACAGACGAGGAGCUUGCUCCUCUGACGUUAGCGGCGGACGGGUGAGUAACACGUGGAUAACCUACCUAUAAGACUGGGAUAACUUCGGGAAACCGGAGCUAAUACCGGAUAAUAUAUUGAACCGCAUGGUUCAAUAGUGAAAGACGGUUUUGCUGUCACUUAUAGAUGGAUCCGCGCCGCAUUAGCUAGUUGGUAAGGUAACGGCUUACCAAGGCAACGAUGCGUAGCCGACCUGAGAGGGUGAUCGGCCACACUGGAACUGAGAAACGGUCCAGACUCCUACGGGAGGCAGCAGUAGGGAAUCUUCCGCGAUGGGCGAAAGCCUGACGGAGCAACGCCGCGUGAGUGAUGAAGGUCUUCGGAUCGUAAAACUCUGUUAUUAGGGAAGAACAAAUGUGUAAGUAACUAUGCACGUAUUGACGGUACCUGAUCAGAAAGCCACGGCUAACUACGUG